This 253-nucleotide ribosomal RNA is filed under the name uncultured bacterium. Its description in RNAcentral is "partial 16S ribosomal RNA". It matches the Rfam family "Bacterial small subunit ribosomal RNA", at positions 524 to 776 of the family's 1533-position model. The record is from RNAcentral.
UACGUAGGGUGCGAGCGUUAAUCGGAAUUACUGGGCGUAAAGUGAGCGCAGGCGGCAGAGCAAGUCGAGUGUGAAAGCCCCGGGCUUAACUUGGGAAUUGCGCUCGAAACUACUUUGCUGGAGUGUGGCAGAGGAAGGUGGAAUUCCACGUGUAGCGGUGAAAUGCGUAGAGAUGUGGAGGAACACCAAUGGCGAAGGCAGCCUUCUGGGCCAACACUGACGCUCAUGCACGAAAGCGUGGGGAGCAAACAGG